This 276-nucleotide long non-coding RNA is filed under the name Nicotiana benthamiana. Its description in RNAcentral is "long non-coding RNA (NBEN_LNC016333)". The record is from RNAcentral. Lineage: Eukaryota; Viridiplantae; Streptophyta; Magnoliopsida; Solanales; Solanaceae.
AUACAAUAAUUAACUUUAUAAAGUGAAAUACACAUAUAAAUUAAUUAAUAAAGGCUAAAAUACUAAAUAAGUAGGAAAAAGGGAGAAAAGAAUUUCGCACCUGCCCUAGCUAUGAGCAGGUGCCUGGACGUGGACGAGAACAAGAUGAAGAAAGAAGAAAGAAAAAAAGGAGAAGAAGAAAGGAGAAGAAGAAGAAGAAGAAACAACAACAACAACAACUACUACCCAGUAUAGUCCCACCAGGUGGGGUCUGGUAGAAGAAGAAGAAAGAAGAAG